Molecule: ribosomal RNA, 99 nt
Filed under: uncultured bacterium
Lineage: Bacteria
Description: partial 16S ribosomal RNA
Rfam family: Bacterial small subunit ribosomal RNA
Source: RNAcentral
UACACACCGCCCGUCACACCAUGGGAGCGGGUUCUGCCAGAAGUAGUUAGCCUAACCGCAAGGAGGGCGAUUACCAUGGCAGGGUUCGUGACUGGGGUG